Long non-coding RNA from Bombus terrestris (buff-tailed bumblebee), 1304 nucleotides. RefSeq lists it as uncharacterized. NCBI's taxonomy places the organism in Eukaryota, Metazoa, Arthropoda, Insecta, Hymenoptera, Apidae. The record is from RefSeq and is a predicted model, not a curated record. The transcript has 2 exons.
UAAAUGCAUCGUCCACACUCUUGUUUGUACGAUGAUGAUAAUUGUAAUAAUGUAUUCAACGAUUUGUGUAUUUAUAUUAUGUAACUAAAUGUGUCUGUUCGGUAUAUUACAUAGGCUGCUAGAAAUAUCGUUUAUCGUCGUAAUAUUCGUACGAAAGAGCUUAGUCACCGUGUUCCUACGAAUUCAGAAUACACGUACGAAAAAAGAGAAAGAAUCACGCAUAAACAUUUUUUCGUUUAGACAGCAAUCAUCUUCCAUUUUAUCUGAAAAUAUUGUACAUAUAUUGUAUGUACAUACAUAUAUUCAUAUUUCUUAAAUAUUUAGUUGAUCAUAUCGAUAUCGAAUAAGCAGAAGCUGAAUACUAUACAAAGUUGAGACAGAACAUCUACCACUACAAGAAUAUAGAAAUAUUUUGCCGAGGAAACGUAAUAAGUCCAUCAGGUACGAACAAACGUCGAGAAAUUGCAGAAUUAGAAUUAUGAGUUUGGAUGCAAGUGUCACGCGAUUCGUCGAAACAGCGACAUUCCUACGCCUUCUUUUCAAUUUGAUUCUGAUUAUCGAUAUGAUUAUUUGUUUAAACCGCGAAUGAACUCGAGUAAGUCAUUUGAUCGAUAUGGAGGGAAAUCAGCUGAACCCGUAUACACUUAUAUUUAACGGGUGAAAAAUUAUCGCAACUGCGAUCUCUCGAUGAGCUGCGUUUAGAAAAGAAACGUGCGUACUUGUAAGUAGAUGUAUGCACGAUAAGUACAUACAUCGGAAAAAGAAAUAAAUUUAUCGUUGUGUUCGUUGUAUAAAAAAAAGAUUAAAGAAGAAAAAUAGAAUUAUUAUAUAUCUCGAGAUUCGUAUAAGCAAUCAAUUGCGCAUGUUCGUACUCGCAAUUUCCACGCUGAUGCAACCGAUUGCCAAUGCUUUGACGCGGGUCACCGUAUCGGGGUUGCUAUUUCGAGGAUGGAAUAAGAAAGGGUAAGAUGAGAUAGUUGAGAAUGAAUCGACGUCACACUAUCACUGGCCAACAUUCCACGCGUUGCAUUUCGUGGGCAACCCAGCUACGUAUAUUUGUGCCUGUCGUACACACGCACAUUACACAUUUUUUUCUACAUCUAUAUAUGUUCUUUUUGCCAGAUUUACACGCGAUACCUUGUUUCCCUCUCUCCAACCAUUUUUCGUCUGCCGUCCGUUCCCCAUUCCAUUCAAUUUCAAUCGUUUCGUUCCGUUUUACAUAUUUUUUGAAUUAUUCGAAACACUUUGUACAAAGAAUGGCAUAUUCAGCGUUCGUGAAACGAGAUAUACAAUAUACAAUAUAA